This is a long non-coding RNA of Canis lupus familiaris (dog), 778 nucleotides long. RefSeq lists it as uncharacterized. The transcript has 4 exons. NCBI's taxonomy places the organism in Eukaryota, Metazoa, Chordata, Mammalia, Carnivora, Canidae. The record is from RefSeq and is a predicted model, not a curated record.
GAAUUGUCCCAAAUUGGGGCAAAGAGUCCUUUAUACACUCUUAUAUUGACUAAUCAUUGGAUGCAAUCUGUCUGCAGGAAGAACAGUGACCUUCAGUGAUGUGACAGCCACAGGCAAUGCUCAGGCAGGGGACUCUGACCACAAGCUGUAAAUCAACAACAUUUCCAGAAGUUGAGAGGAGUGCUAUAGUUCUGAAGGGAGACUAUGGGUUUCACAGAUUUUAUUUUCUAUCUGAGAAAUUCAUUUGGAGUUUCCUUAGAGGAUACAAGGAAAAUAUGCUAUUCUAUGUACACUAAGGAAGAGAAAUAAGUCGGGGAAAAGCAGCAGCAAAGUUGGACAUCUGGAGCUCUAGCUCAGGCCACGCUUGGUGUUCCUGGCUGAGUGAGUGAUGAUACAGGUGGGGAGGAUACUUUGGAAAGUCGAUCAAAUAAUUUAAAGUUGAUCAGAGAAUUCCCUGGUGCCAAAUGAAACCACUCCACACUGGCUUAUGGAAGAAAAGGCCAUCAUUUCCUGAGUAAAAGGAAUAUUCACUUAACAUGAUGAAAAGAACAUUAAUUUUAAUAAUUCGCUGAACAACCUUUAAUGCACUGUGACUACCAGGUAUCAAAAGAAAUCCAAAUAGCCUGUCAUCUCAAAAUAGAUAUUUAUGCAAAGUAAAGAAGGGACUUCUCACAGAAGUAAGAACCCUGCUCUGCAUCACAGACAUCUCACAGUGUUUAAUGAAAUAUAUGCAUGACAACUAUUGGCCAAAUGGAAAUAUGUCACAUUGUUUCCCAAA